UGUGAAACAAAUAGUUGAAUAUGAAGCUUCUAACUUUGUAUUACUAGUUUUAUAGUCUAGUUUUCGUAU
This 69-nucleotide transfer RNA is filed under the name Girardia tigrina. RNAcentral describes it as "tRNA-Ser". Lineage: Eukaryota; Metazoa; Platyhelminthes; Tricladida; Dugesiidae. RNAcentral also lists the same sequence under 1 other name. The record is from RNAcentral.